UCUUGAAUGAAUGAGAAGGAAAAAGAUAUCACAUGGAUCACUAGAAUUUUUUUUUUUUUGAACAAUCAAAUAAUAAAACUAGUAAUUUCUAUUAUCAUUUUUAGUUUUUACAAUUUCGCUUUCAAUAUUUUGAAAUAAAGCUUCCUUGUAGCUAGAUUAAGAUUUGUAUCUCGAUCCAAUACAACAAUGCAUCACAACUAUGGAUUCCAAUUAUUUUAUUCUUUCUUUUCUUUCUAUCAUUGAAUAUGCUUUACUAUUAUUCGUUACUAGAUGAUUAGCCGAUUAAAAAAAGGAUUCCGACAAAAAAACUGCUUCUGCAACUACGAAAAGGAAAUUUUUAGAUCUCACGCAUCUACUUAAAUUGAGGGAAUAUGAUAAUCUCUUUCAUUGUGAGAAUUUUCUAUUAAUAUAGAGCAUCAUUUUACAUAACCGGGUAAAAGGAAAGGAAAAAAUAAAUUAUUUAGCGCUUCCUUUCGAUUUGAUACUGAUUCAAAUUGUAUUUCUGUAUUAGAAGAAGGAUAUUUAUACUGAUUCGGUAUACUAUAAAGACGCCCUCAAUACAAUACUGAUGAUCCUAUAAGGAUGAAAUUUCAGUGAUUGCCUUUAAUUGAUCUCAUCAUUACGGAGUUGUUCUCCUUUGACUCUACAAGAAUAUGUGGAGCCGAUCAUGUCUGGAAGCACAAGAGAACUUUUUUUGCUGAUGGUAUUACCAAUAUUCGAUACUGGGUCAUUCAUCGCAUUACUAUACCUUCCCUUUUCAUUUCAGGUUUGUUAUUCGUUAGUACCGACUUAGCUUAUGAUGUAUUUGGAAGCCCUCGAUCAAAUUUUUACAAUAUGAUAAUUGGUUAUUCACUAAUCUAAUGACUAUAAAUCGAACCUAUCCAAUUUUUACAGUAUGAUAAUUGGUUAUUCACGGCCUAGCUGUACCUAACGUCUUUUUUGGGGGAUAAUAUCAGUAAUGCAAUUCAUCCAACGAUAAACCUAAUCCAAAUUAUAGAACUGAAACAAUCAAACCCAAACGAACAAAAUGUUGAAUUGAGACGUACCAGUCUCGACUGGUGGUUAUUACUCAUUUUUGUACUUAUUGUUUUAUUUUCCAAUUAUUUCUUCAAGUAUGGAAAUGAAAGAAAAUAAAUAUGAAUUCUAAGCAUUCUCUUAGCCCAUUUGGUAGCAUAUCAUCCCAUGAAUUAUCCAUGACUGAUUAUGUCUGUAGCAUGAUCACUUGAUGAAAUUGGAAGGAAGUGGAGUAAAUGGCCGAUACUACUGGAAGAUUCCUCUUUCGAUAAUAGGUACUGCAACAGGUGAAUUCUUGUGACUAGUUUAAUAGGUAUUUUCUUUUAUGGUUCAUAUUCCGGUUGGGUAUGACCCUGUAGCAAUCGGAUGAAUUGAGUUGUAGACAUAAAAGCGUAAGAACUCAACGUGAUUCUCUUCUUUGUUUGUCUGAUUCGAAG
Molecule: long non-coding RNA, 1451 nt
Filed under: Olea europaea subsp. europaea
Lineage: Eukaryota; Viridiplantae; Streptophyta; Magnoliopsida; Lamiales; Oleaceae
Source: RNAcentral